GACGAACGCGGGCGGGGUGCUUAACGCAUGCAGGUCGAACGGAAAGGCCCUGCUUUUGUGGGGUGCUCGAGUGGCGAACGGGUGAGUAACACGUGAGUAGCCUGCCCUUGACUGUGGGAUAACUUCAGGAAACUGGGGCGAAUACCGGAUAGGAUCUCCUGCUGCAUGGUGGGGGUUGGAAAGUUUCGGCGGUUGGGGAUGGACUCGCGGCUUAUCAGCUUGUUGGUGGGGUAGUGGCUUACCAAGGCUUUGACGGGUAGCCGGCCUGAGAGGGUGACCGGCCACAUUGGGACUGAGAUACGGACCAGACUCCUACGGGAGGCAGCAGUGGCGAAUAUUGCACACUGGGCGGAAGCCUGAUGCAGCAACGCCGCGUGCGGGAUGACGGCCUUCGGGUUGUAAACCGCUUUCGCCUGCGACGAAGCGUGAGUGACGGUAAUGGGUACAGAAGCAACGGCUAACUACGUG
Molecule: ribosomal RNA, 468 nt
Filed under: uncultured bacterium
Lineage: Bacteria
Description: partial 16S ribosomal RNA
Rfam family: Bacterial small subunit ribosomal RNA
Source: RNAcentral